UCGAAAUCCGCUAAGGAGUGUGU
Molecule: non-coding RNA, 23 nt
Filed under: Arabidopsis thaliana (thale cress)
Lineage: Eukaryota; Viridiplantae; Streptophyta; Magnoliopsida; Brassicales; Brassicaceae
Also listed under: 1 other name
Source: RNAcentral